This is a non-coding RNA of Pristionchus pacificus, 739 nucleotides long. The record is from Rfam. Lineage: Eukaryota; Metazoa; Nematoda; Chromadorea; Rhabditida; Neodiplogasteridae.
UGUGGUGGAUUCUGAAACCACGUGGGGCUAAGCGGAUAGAGUUGACGAAACUGGCAGUGUUCAGUGCUCGUGAUCGGGUUCGCUCGUGAUCGGGUGCGCAUUCAUUGUCGGUACGUGCUGGGACGUUCGGUGAGCCCUUCUGAAGGCUUCAGAGUCACCCAAGCUUGCUUGGUAGUGUUCUGUCGUCGGAAGUUGAUGUGCUCGCUGAUCGUAGCGGUGGCCGUGCCUCUGCGCGUUCGUUCGUUAGUUGGUGUGCUGCUUGGUAGUCGGACAUGUCUGGCUGCCUCGUACGUGUGCUGAUUAGCGGGCGCUCGCCUAUGGCCCACUCCCGGUAUGCGAAAGUCGACCACCUAUCCGACCCGUCUUGAAACACGGACCAAGAAGUCUAGUAUGUACGCGAGUCAUUGGGUAUUAAACCUAUUGGCGCAAUAAAUGUGAAGGGCGGCUUGUUCGUCUGAUAUGUGAUCCGUCGGUCUCGGCCAGCGGCGCAACAUAGUCCCAUGCCUACUGCUUGCAGUGGUGUGGAGAUGGAGCGUACACACUAGGACCCGAAAGAUGGUGAACUAUGCCUGAGCAGGACGAAGUCAGAGGAAACUCUGAUGGAAGUCCGAAGCGGUUCUGACGUGCAAAUCGAUCGUCGGACUCGGGUAUAGGGGCGAAAGACUAUCGAACCAUCUAGUAGCUGGUUCUCACCGAAGUUUCCCCCAAGAUAGCUGGCACUUAUGUUUGUUGAAUCUUG